RNAcentral lists this ribosomal RNA (494 nucleotides) under uncultured bacterium. RNAcentral describes it as "partial 16S ribosomal RNA". It matches the Rfam family "Bacterial small subunit ribosomal RNA", at positions 28 to 507 of the family's 1533-position model. The record is from RNAcentral.
GACGAACGCUGGCGGCGCGCUUAACACAUGCAAGUCGAACGGAAAGGCCUGCUUUCCCUUGUGGAUUGCGGGUACUCGAGUGGCGAACGGGUGAGUAACACGUGAGUGAUCUGCCCCCAACUUGGGUAUAAGCCUGGGAAACUGGGUCUAAUUCCCGAUAGGACUGCAGGGUGGUGCCUGUGGUGGAAAACGAUUUUCUAGUGGUUGGGGAUGAGCUCGCGGCCUAUCAGCUUGUCGGUGGGGUAAUGGCCUACCAAGGCGGCGACGGGUAGCCGGCCUGAGAGGGUGGACGGCAACAUUGGGACUGAGAUACGGCCCAGACUCCUACGGGAGGCAGCAGUGGGGAAUAUUGCACAAGGGGCGGAAGCCUGAUGCAGCGACGCCGCGUGGGGGAUGACGGCCUUCGGGUUGUAAACUCCUUUCGACCGCGAGGAAGCCACCUGGUUGGAAGGGUGGUGACGGUAGUGGUAGAAGAAGCACCGGCUAACUACGUG